GCGGCGUGCUUAACACAUGCAAGUCGAACGGGAAAUACUUCAUUGAGACUUCGGUGGAUUUGAUCUAUUUCUAGUGGCGGACGGGUGAGUAACGCGUGGGUAACCUGCCUUAUACAGGGGGAUAACAGUCAGAAAUGACUGCUAAUACCGCAUAAGCGCACAGGGCCGCAUGGCCCGGUGUGAAAAACUCCGGUGGUAUAAGAUGGACCCGCGUUGGAUUAGCUGGUUGGUGGGGUAACGGCCCACCAAGGCGACGAUCCAUAGCCGGCCUGAGAGGGUGAACGGCCACAUUGGGACUGAGACACGGCCCAGACUCCUACGGGAGGCAGCAGUGGGGAAUAUUGCACAAUGGGGGAAACCCUGAUGCAGCGACGCCGCGUGAAGGAAGAAGUAUCUCGGUAUGUAAACUUCUAUCAGCAGGGAAGAUAGUGACGGUACCUGACUAAGAAGCCCCGGCUAACUACGUGCCAGCAGCCGCGGUAAUACGUAGGGGGCAAGCGUUAUCCGGAUUUACUGGGUGUAAGGGGAGCGUAGACGGUGUGGCAAGUCUGAUGUGAAAGGCAUGGGCUCAACCUGUGGACUGCAUUGGAAACUGUCAUACUUGAGUGCCGGAGGGGUAAGCGGAAUUCCUAGUGUAGCGGUGAAAUGCGUAGAUAUUAGGAGGAACACCAGUGGCGAAGGCGGCUUACUGGACGGUAACUGACGUUGAGGCUCGAAAGC
This 720-nucleotide ribosomal RNA is filed under the name uncultured Lachnospiraceae bacterium. Its description in RNAcentral is "bacterial SSU rRNA". It matches the Rfam family "Bacterial small subunit ribosomal RNA", at positions 39 to 760 of the family's 1533-position model. Lineage: Bacteria; Bacillati; Bacillota; Clostridia; Lachnospirales; Lachnospiraceae. The record is from RNAcentral.